This 512-nucleotide ribosomal RNA is filed under the name uncultured bacterium. RNAcentral describes it as "bacterial SSU rRNA". It matches the Rfam family "Bacterial small subunit ribosomal RNA", at positions 28 to 520 of the family's 1533-position model. The record is from RNAcentral.
GACGAACGCUGGCGGCGUGCCUAAUACAUGCAAGUCGAGCGGACCAAAGGGAGCUUGCUCCUGGAGGUCAGCGGCGAACGGGUGAGUAACACGUGGGCAACCUGCCUGUAAGACUGGGAUAACAUCGAGAAAUCGGUGCUAAUACCGGAUAAUAAAAAGAACUGCAUGGUUCUUUUUUGAAAGAUGGUUUCGGCUAUCACUUACAGAUGGGCCCGCGGCGCAUUAGCUAGUUGGUGAGGUAACGGCUCACCAAGGCAACGAUGCGUAGCCGACCUGAGAGGGUGAUCGGCCACACUGGGACUGAGACACGGCCCAGACUCCUACGGGAGGCAGCAGUAGGGAAUCUUCCGCAAAUGGACGAAAGUACUGACGGAGCAACGCCGCGUGAGUGAUGAAGGUUUUCGGAUCGUAAAACUCUGUUGUUAGGGAAGAACAAGUGCCGUUCGAAAGGGCGGCACCUUGACGGUACCUAACGAGAAAGCCACGGCUAACUACGUGCCAGCAGCCGACGG